Molecule: ribosomal RNA, 350 nt
Filed under: uncultured bacterium
Lineage: Bacteria
Description: bacterial SSU rRNA
Rfam family: Bacterial small subunit ribosomal RNA
Source: RNAcentral
UGGGGAAUAUUGCACAAUGGGCGAAAGCCUGAUGCAGCCAUGCCGCGUGUAUGAAGAAGGCCUUCGGGUUGUAAAGUACUUUCAGUAGGGAGGAAAGGUGUGUCGUUAAUAGCGGCAUACUGUGACGUUACCUACAGAAGAAGCACCGGCUAACUCCGUGCCAGCAGCCGCGGUAAUACGGAGGGUGCAAGCGUUAAUCGGAAUUACUGGGCGUAAAGCGCGCGUAGGUGGUUAUUUAAGCUAGAUGUGAAAGCCCAGGGCUCAACCUUGGAACUGCAUUUAGAACUGGGUAGCUAGAGUACAGUAGAGGGUAGUGGAAUUUCUUGUGUAGCGGUGAAAUGCGUAGAUAU